GAUGAACGCUGGCGGCGUGCCUAAUACAUGCAAGUCGAGCGAACGGACGAGAAGCUUGCUUUUCUGAUGUUAGCGGCGGACGGGUGAGUAACACGUGGAUAACCUACCUAUAAGACUGGGAUAACUUCGGGAAACCGGAGCUAAUACCGGAUAAUAUUUUGAACCGCAUGGUUCAAAAGUGAAAGACGGUCUUGCUGUCACUUAUAGAUGGAUCCGCGCUGCAUUAGCUAGUUGGUAAGGUAACGGCUUACCAAGGCAACGAUGCAUAGCCGACCUGAGAGGGUGAUCGGCCACACUGGAACUGAGACACGGUCCAGACUCCUACGGGAGGCAGCAGUGGGGAAUCUUCCGCAAUGGGCGAAAGCCUGACGGAGCAACGCCGCGUGAGUGAUGAAGGUCUUCGGAUCGUAAAACUCUGUUAUUAGGGAAGAACAGAUGUAUAAGAAACUGUGCACAUCUUGACGGUACCUAAACAGAAAGCCACGGCUAACUACGUG
This 497-nucleotide ribosomal RNA is filed under the name uncultured bacterium. RNAcentral describes it as "partial 16S ribosomal RNA". It matches the Rfam family "Bacterial small subunit ribosomal RNA", at positions 28 to 507 of the family's 1533-position model. The record is from RNAcentral.